This 800-nucleotide ribosomal RNA is filed under the name uncultured Glomus. RNAcentral describes it as "SSU rRNA". It matches the Rfam family "Eukaryotic small subunit ribosomal RNA", at positions 314 to 1114 of the family's 1831-position model. Lineage: Eukaryota; Fungi; Glomeromycota; Glomeromycetes; Glomerales; Glomeraceae. The record is from RNAcentral.
AUCAACUUUCGAUGGUAGGAUAGAGGCCUACCAUGGUGGUAACAGGUAACGGGGUGUUAGGGCACGACACCGGAGAGGGAGCCUGAGAAACGGCUACCACAUCCAAGGAUGGCAGCAGGCGCGCAAAUUACCCAAUCCCGACACGGGGAGGUAGUGACAAUAAAUAACAAUACAGGGUUCUUUUGGAUCUUGUAAUUGGAAUGAGUACAAUUUAAAUCUCUUAACGAGGAACAAUUGGAGGGCAAGUCUGGUGCCAGCAGCCGCGGUAAUUCCAGCUCCAAUAGCGUAUAUUAAAGUUGUUGCAGUUAAAAAGCUCGUAGUUGAAUUUCGGGAUUAAUGUUUCGGUCAUGCCGUUGGUAUGUACUGAUAUUAUUGAUUUCUCACCUUCUAAAGAACCGUAAUGCCAUUAAUUUGGUGUCACGGGGAAUUAGGACUGUUACCUUGAAAAAAUUAGAGUGUUUAAAGCAGGCUCACGCUUGAAUACAUUAGCAUGGAAUAAUGAAAUAGGACAUCCGAUUCUAUUUUGUUGGUUUCUAGGAUCGAUGUAAUGAUUAAUAGGGAUAGUUGGGGGCAUUAGUAUUCAAUUGUCAGAGGUGAAAUUCUUGGAUCUAUUGAAGACUAACUACUGCGAAAGCAUUUGCCAAGGAUGUUUUCAUUAAUCAAGAACGAAAGUUAGGGGAUCGAAGACGAUCAGAUACCGUCGUAGUCUUAACCAUAAACUAUGCCGACUAGGGAUCGGAUGAUGUUAAUUUUUUAAUGACUCAUUCGGCGCCUUACGGGAAACCAAAGUGUUUGGGUUC